UGUCUCAGUAGCUCAAUUGGAUAGAGCAUCCCCCUCCUAAGGGGAAGGUUGGCAGUUCGAACCUGCCCUGGGACACCAU
Molecule: transfer RNA, 79 nt
Filed under: Pseudomonas fluorescens Q2-87
Lineage: Bacteria; Pseudomonadati; Pseudomonadota; Gammaproteobacteria; Pseudomonadales; Pseudomonadaceae
Description: tRNA-Arg
Rfam family: tRNA
About the family: Transfer RNA (tRNA) molecules are approximately 80 nucleotides in length. Their secondary structure includes four short double-helical elements and three loops (D, anti-codon, and T loops). Further hydrogen bonds mediate the characteristic L-shaped molecular structure. tRNAs have two regions of fundamental functional importance: the anti-codon, which is responsible for specific mRNA codon recognition, and the 3' end, to which the tRNAs corresponding amino acid is attached (by aminoacyl-tRNA synthetases). tRNAs cope with the degeneracy of the genetic code in two manners: having more than one tRNA (with a specific anti-codon) for a particular amino acid; and 'wobble' base-pairing, i.e. permitting non-standard base-pairing at the 3rd anti-codon position.
Source: RNAcentral